RNAcentral lists this long non-coding RNA (380 nucleotides) under Pan troglodytes (chimpanzee). RNAcentral describes it as "long non-coding RNA NONPTRT008187". The record is from RNAcentral. Lineage: Eukaryota; Metazoa; Chordata; Mammalia; Primates; Hominidae.
AACGAAACAAACCAAACAAACAAAAAAUCCAGGCAGCUGAUGACUCCCCAGUAUGGGUGUCCGACUCUGAACUCUGCGCCGAGCUCCUCCUGCAGAGAAGACUCAAGUGCAAAGAGCUGAGGUGCUUACACAAGACCACCGCACAGGAACGAAGCGUCGGAGUGUGGAAUCGAGACCUGUUCUACUGCACUCCAGAGCACAUGUUCUUUCUACUCUGCCAUAAUGUUUGGGACAAAAUUGAAUCAUGAGGGUUUUUCCAUUACAAAUGUAACACAUCGCUCCUGCGUACGGCUGGGAUGAGUCACUGGCACCAGACGUGCCCUCCUGCGAAAAACAGCUAUGAAACUGGACAAAAUACAGGAGGGCCACUGUUUUCAGGC